Molecule: ribosomal RNA, 496 nt
Filed under: uncultured bacterium
Lineage: Bacteria
Description: partial 16S ribosomal RNA
Rfam family: Bacterial small subunit ribosomal RNA
Source: RNAcentral
AUGAACGCUGGCGGCGUGCCUAAUACAUGCAAGUCGAGCGAACAGACGAGGAGCUUGCUCCUCUGACGUUAGCGGCGGACGGGUGAGUAACACGUGGAUAACCUACCUAUAAGACUGGGAUAACUUCGGGAAACCGGAGCUAAUACCGGAUAAUAUAUUGAACCGCAUGGUUCAAUAGUGAAAGACGGUUUUGCUGUCACUUAUAGAUGGAUCCGCGCCGCAUUAGCUAGUUGGUAAGGUAACGGCUUACCAAGGCGACGAUGCGUAGCCGACCUGAGAGGGUGAUCGGCCACACUGGAACUGAGACACGGCCCAGACUCCUACGGGAGGCAGCAGUAGGGAAUCUUCCGCAAUGGGCGAAAGCCUGACGGAGCAACGCCGCGUGAGUGAUGAAGGUCUUCGGAUCGUAAAGCUCUGUUAUUAGGGAAGAACAAAUGUGUAAGUAACUAUGCACGUCUUGACGGUACCUAAUCAGAAAGCCACGGCUAACUACGUG